Molecule: ribosomal RNA, 1227 nt
Filed under: Triticum aestivum (bread wheat)
Lineage: Eukaryota; Viridiplantae; Streptophyta; Magnoliopsida; Poales; Poaceae
Description: partial small subunit ribosomal RNA
Source: RNAcentral
AUGAGCCGCCGCCGCCGCCCAUGCUCGCCGCCGCCGCCGCCCGCGCCGGUGCCGCCGCUGGAGGACGACAACCUGCUCUCCGAGAUACUCCUCCGCCUCCCGCCAGACCCGUCCUCCCUCCCUCGCGCCUCCCUCGUCUCCAAGCGCUGGCUCGGCCUCGUCUCCGACCCCGGCUUCUCUCGCCGCUUCCGCCUCCACCACCGCCACAACCCUCCUCUCCUUGGUUUCUUCGAGGGCUUCCGUUUCCAUCCUACCAUGGAUCCCCCCAAUCGUGUCCCGGAUGGCUACUUCUCCGUGCGCAUCGACACCGGCGGCAUGUUCAGGAAUCUUGGAUCCCGCCAUGGCCUCCUACUCCACUUCCACGGAACAGGGAACCAGCUCCUGGUGUGGGACCCCUUCAACGUCGCCCAGCACCGCGUAGCCGUUCCCCCAGGGUUCGAUGAGAAGAAGACCUUUAUCGGUGGGGCGGUGUAUCGCGCCGCCGGAGAGAUCCAACACUUCCAAGUGGUCUUGGUAAGCGCAGAGACAGACGAGCUUCAGCAUAGACAGGUCAUCGCCCGCGUUUACUCGUCGGAGACUGGCGCAUGGGGUGAUCGCAUCUCAACACCAUAUCCAUCCAGACUUCCCAGCAAGAAUUGUAUGGGCUUUACUCUGAGUGUGCUAGUUGGGCAUUCCCUUUACUGGUUGUUCGUGGACAUAUCGACUGGCAGAGUGGAUGGCAUAGUUGAGUUUGAUUUGGAGAUGCAGAUCCUAGCUGUGAAACCGGUGCCAGUCGAUAUUGCCAAGGAAAAACAGGGCAAAUUCCAGGUUAUGCGGGCAGAGGGCGGUGGCCUUGGUAUUCUCUUUCUGUUUAAAUUCAGCGCCCAGUUAUGGAAGAUGGAGACCGCUUCUGAUGGUGUUGCAUCAUGGGUGCUGGGAAGAACCGUUGAACUGGACAAGCUACUCCCCCUGGGUCUAGAAGAGGAAGAGAACUCAGAAGAGGAGUGCUCAGAAGUGGAAGAUAACGAUUUCCCAUUCCCAGGUAUACAAGGGUUUGCUGAAUACAAUAAUGUGGUUUUCCUGUGGACACAUAUCCACAACUUCACAGUCCAGCUUGAGUCACUGCAGUUCAAGAAAGUGUCCAAAAUACACAUGUUGGCUCGCUAUUAUCCAUUUGAAAGUGCCUAUGCUGCAGGCACGGGCAUUGGUGGUGGACAUGAUGGAGCUAAACUUUUGCACAAUACCUAA